RNAcentral lists this ribosomal RNA (293 nucleotides) under uncultured Acidobacteriota bacterium. RNAcentral's name for it is "uncultured Acidobacteria bacterium partial 16S ribosomal RNA". Lineage: Bacteria; Pseudomonadati; Acidobacteriota. The record is from RNAcentral.
GGACUACUGGGGUAUCUAAUCCUGUUUGCUCCCCUAGCUUUCGUUCCUCAGCGUCAGUAGUGAUCCAGCUCGCCGCUUUCGCCACGGGUGUUCCUGCAGAUAUCUACGCAUUUCGCCGCUACACCUGCAAUUCCACGAGCCUCUCUCACACUCAAGCACAGCAGUUUUGGAAGCAGUCUCUGGGCUGAGCCCAGGGAUUUCACACCCAACUUGCCACACCGCCUACGAACCCUUUACACCCAGUAAUUCCGAACAACGCUGGCCCCCUACGUCUUACCGCGGCGGCUGGCCAC